GGAUCCUUUAAACAGUUUAAAGUGACAAUUGGUGUAAAAUAAAUACUUUGAAACACAUACGACUAAAGCAUUCCAACUAUUCGACUACCGACAGUCAGCAGACUUCAUCCCCAGCAAUUCUGAAGCAACUGCAUAAGAACUAAAAAAUUACAGUCACACAAAAAAGGAGGGAUGAAUCGCAGGCCCACAGAAGAGUAUCAAAGUCUUGCAAAAGAUCAAGAUACAAGACUCAAACAGACGGUGAAAUCCCUAAAGGAUAAGGCCUUGUAGGGCAUGUAAAAUGAAAAAAAAACUGAAAGUGAUGACUGCAGAGUUCUUUUCAUCUGAGGAGUCUGAGAAAGCACUUCAUUGUGAGACGUCUACCCGUGCCUCAUUCAGUGCCUUCAAGGACAACAUUGAGAAAGCUCAAGUGAAAAAGCUAACACCUUAACACAAGAGGCGGAUGAAGAAGUGUGUGGUCUUGUAGAUUCCGGUAUCAAAGAGACCUUUACCAGAAAACUGCUCCAAUUUGUGAGGAGUGAGGAAGAGAGGGAUUGACAAUGUGAAACUUUAAUUACACUGAGUAAAUAUUACUUAUACGUCAUGGGAUCUAUUGAUAAUGCAUUUAACAUUUAAGUAAAAGGUUAAAUUUGUAAAACGUUUAAAAUAUUAAAAGUUCUAUCCCCCUUUGAAUACAGAUUAAAUGUUUUUUUAAAAGAGGAGCAAAUGCUUAAUAUAAGAAAAUUUGUAAGUGAACAUUUGUUUAAAUAAAAUAGAGGAGAAUGAAUUUCAUUUGUUUGAGAAAUGCAUUAGCCAAGGAAUUUCUCACUGCCUAUAUCUAUUAAUUUAUAUUCACUUUAUUACUAUUUUCUUGAAAUAAUUUUAUUAGCCUAGUACCUGAGGGGGAUUGAUUUUCUUUGUCUUAUUUCUUGCCAUAUUUAUUUAUCAUAGAUUAUUUAUGAAAAAUUUAUCUCCAUUUAUUUUUUUAAAUUAUUAUUUCUAUUUCCGAAUGAGUGUAUUGUCAUUGUGAUUUUAAUAGUAGCUAAUACAUGUAUUUAUGUUUGUGUGAUUAAGUUAUAUUCAUCUUAUUGAAAAUUUUGGCCCAAAAUUUGUCAAAUUGUGGUUAACUUCAGACGUAGAAAAAAAUAUGCAUCCUUAUUUUGACUGCCUUUCUGAUCCUAAUUUAAAGUGCCAAUCCUGAUCUUAUUCUAUAUUUUUUACAUAACUGAUUUUUUGGUUACUUUUUUGCAUUAAGAAGUGCAAAAAAGAAGUCCAGAAUAAAUGCAUCCUUACCUACCCUUAUUCAUCAAUGCCUGAACAUUGCUGAAAGCAAAGACAUAUUAUUAUUCUAAGCCUUACAUGAUUAAGGAUAAUACAGUUGUUCCUUUUAAAAUAUUUUUAAUUCUACUGAUGCAGUCAUUUACAGUUGUAUGUGUGAUUGUUUUGUAAUAAAUUGUUAUUUAACAUUGAUUAAUGUGAUUUUUUUUAUAAUCAAUGUAGUUUUGUUUAAGAAUUUGUAAUUCCAGAUAUGAUAUUGUUUAUGAAACCUUGUUUGUACAUGUGAUUUCAAUUUUAAUUUGUUGAAGGCCUAGUUUUUAAGCCAUACUGUAUAUUUGAAUUAAGUGACAGUUUUUUUUUUUUUUUUUUUUUUUUU
Molecule: long non-coding RNA, 1633 nt
Organism: Saccostrea cuccullata (small rock oyster)
Lineage: Eukaryota; Metazoa; Mollusca; Bivalvia; Ostreida; Ostreidae
Exons: 3
Source: RefSeq, a predicted model, not a curated record